AUGGCUCUUUGUAAAUUUUAAAUAAAGAGUCUGACCUGCCCAGUGAAAAUUUUCAACGGCCGCGGUACUCUGACCGUGCGAAGGUAGCAUAAUCAUUUGUCUUAUAAUUGAAGUCUAGUAUGAAUGGUUUAACAAGGGUGUGACUGUCUCUUUUCAAUUUUAUAAAAAUUUAUUUUUAAGUUAAAAAGCUUAAAUUUAAUAAAAAGACAAGAAGACCCUAUCGAGCUUUAAAGUAAUAAUUAGAAUUGUAAUAUUUAUUAAAAUUAAAGCUAUUUAAAAUUUUGGUUGGGGCGACUGAGGAACAAAAAAAGCUUCCUAAUAUAAAUGUGUUCUAGCAAGAUUUGAUCCAGUAUAUCUGAUUAAAGAAAUUAGUUACCGUAGGGAUAACAGCAUAAUCUUUUUUGAGAGUUCAAAUCGAAAAAAAGGUUUGUGACCUCGAUGUUGGACCAGAAUAUCCCAAGGAUGAAGCAGUCCUUAAAGGUUGGUCUGUUCGACCAUUAAAAUUCUACGUGAUCUGAGUUAAGACCGGCGUGAGCCAGGUCAGUUUCUAUCUUUUAUUUAAUAAAUAAGAUUAGUACGAAAGGACCAUUUUAUUAUAUAAUUAUAUAGUUUAAGAUAAAAUAUAACAGUAAUAUAAUCAGGUUAGUAUAAUAAAUACAACUAAUUUAG
RNAcentral lists this ribosomal RNA (669 nucleotides) under Hainotis sharonae. RNAcentral describes it as "partial large subunit ribosomal RNA". The stretch from base 1 to 580 matches the Rfam family "Bacterial large subunit ribosomal RNA", at positions 1815 to 2925 of the family's 2925-position model. The record is from RNAcentral. Lineage: Eukaryota; Metazoa; Mollusca; Gastropoda; Littorinimorpha; Velutinidae.